UCGUAGUCGGAUGUCGGGCUCGGGCAGGCUGUCGGCUUCGGUCGGACGGCAGGCUCGGGUCUUUCUGCCUGAGGAACCCGUGGCACUUAACUGUGCGGCGUGGGGACGCAGGCCGUUUACUUUGAAAAAAUUAGAGUGUUCAAAGCAGGCCUACGCUUGAAUACAUUAGCAUGGAAUAAUGGAAUAGGACUUUGGUGCUAUUUUGUUGGUUUAUGGGACCGAAGUAAUGAUUAACAGGGACAGUUGGGGCCGUUUAUAUUUCGUUGUCAGAGGUGAAAUUCUUGGAUUUACGAAAGAUAAACUUCUGCGAAAGCAUUCGGCAAGGAUGUUUUCAUUGAUCAAGAACGAAAGUUAGGGGAUCGAAGACGAUCAGAUACCGUCGUAGUCUUAACCAUAAACUAUGCCGACUAGGGAUCAGUGGAUGUCAAUUUGCGACUCCAUUGGCACCUUGUGAGAAAUCAAAGUUUUUGGGUUCCGGGGGGAGUAUGGUCGCAAGGCUGAAACUUAAAGGAAUUGACGGAAGGGCACCACCAGGAGUGGAGCC
This 544-nucleotide ribosomal RNA is filed under the name Teleaulax acuta. RNAcentral's name for it is "SSU rRNA". It matches the Rfam family "Eukaryotic small subunit ribosomal RNA", at positions 628 to 1183 of the family's 1831-position model. The record is from RNAcentral. Lineage: Eukaryota; Cryptophyceae; Pyrenomonadales; Geminigeraceae.